RNAcentral lists this long non-coding RNA (290 nucleotides) under Gossypium raimondii (Peruvian cotton). Its description in RNAcentral is "long non-coding RNA (GRAI_LNC007494)". Lineage: Eukaryota; Viridiplantae; Streptophyta; Magnoliopsida; Malvales; Malvaceae. The record is from RNAcentral.
ACAAAAUGAACAAAGGAGUGAAAGUUUAGCUUUUAUAUUUAGAGUUAAUGGAGAAAUUACAAGACAAGUCUCUCAGUGUUUUCCUAUUAUUAUCGUAGGGCCUUCUGCCUAUUUUAAUUACAACCUAGGUCCUUCCUGUUUUAUAUUAAUUUGAAACUUCGAAAUUUCAGCAUAAUUAAUUGCAGCAUUUGACCGUUCUUUUUUUGAAGAUAAUUUUCAAGAGUUUUUGUUUGUAAAUUUGUAAGUUUAGUCCUGCAAGGUUUUAAACGCUUUAGAAUUUUGAAAUCAUG